ACAGCAGUCGCCGCGGUAAUACGAAGGGGGCUAGCGUUGUUCGGAUUUACUGGGCGUAAAGGGCGCGUAGGCGGACUGGUAAGUCAGGGGUGAAAUCCCAAGGCUCAACCUUGGAACUGCCUUUGAUACUGUUUGUCUUGAGUUCGAGAGAGGUAAGUGGAACUGCGAGUGUAGAGGUGAAAUUCGUAGAUAUUCGCAAGAACACCAGUGGCGAAGGCGGCUUACUGGCUCGAAACUGACGCUGAGGCGCGAAAGCGUGGGGAGCAAACAGGAUUAGAUACCCCCGUAGUCCCUGUCUCUUAUAC
This 305-nucleotide ribosomal RNA is filed under the name uncultured bacterium. RNAcentral describes it as "partial 16S ribosomal RNA". It matches the Rfam family "Bacterial small subunit ribosomal RNA", at positions 508 to 807 of the family's 1533-position model. The record is from RNAcentral.